RNAcentral lists this unclassified non-coding RNA (351 nucleotides) under soil metagenome. RNAcentral's name for it is "partial contains 5.8S ribosomal RNA, internal transcribed spacer 2, and large subunit ribosomal RNA". The stretch from base 1 to 120 matches the Rfam family "5.8S ribosomal RNA", at positions 35 to 154 of the family's 154-position model. The record is from RNAcentral.
GAUGAAGAACGUAGCGAAAUGCGAAAAGUAAUGUGAAUUGCAGAAUUCAGUGAAUCAUCGAAUCUUUGAACGCACAUUGCGCCCGCUGGUACUCCGGCGGGCACGCCUGUCCGAGCGUCAUUUCAACCCUCAAGCCCUCCUUCGGGAUGGGCCUGGUGUUGGGGCUCGGCCGCCAUCUCCGGCGGCCGUCCCCUAAAUACAGUGGCGGUCACGUCGCGACUCCUUUGCGUAGUAGAAACACCUCGCUCCGGAUAGCAACGCGGUCCACGCCGUAAAACCCCCAAUUUUCAAUGGUUGACCUCGGAUCAGGUGGGAAUACCCGCUGAACUUAAGCAUAUCAAUAAGCGAGGA